RNAcentral lists this ribosomal RNA (417 nucleotides) under uncultured Stenotrophomonas sp. RNAcentral's name for it is "bacterial SSU rRNA". It matches the Rfam family "Bacterial small subunit ribosomal RNA", at positions 107 to 518 of the family's 1533-position model. The record is from RNAcentral. Lineage: Bacteria; Pseudomonadati; Pseudomonadota; Gammaproteobacteria; Lysobacterales; Lysobacteraceae.
UGAGGAAUACAUCGGAAUCUACUUUUUCUUGGGGGAUAACGUACGGAAACUUACGCUAAUACCGCAAACGACCUACGGACUGAAAGCAGGGGAUCUUCAGACCUUGCGCGAUUGAAUGAGCCCAUGUCUGAUUAUCUAGUUGGCGGGGUAAAGGCCCACCAAGGCGACGAUCCGUAGCUGGUCUGAGAGGAUGAUCAUCCACACUGGAACUGAGACACGGUCCACCACUCCUACGGGAGGCAGCAGUGGGGAAUAUUGGACAAUGGGCGCAAGCCUGAUCCAGCCAUACCGCGUGGGUGAAGAAGGCCUUCGGGUUGUAAAGCCCUUUUGUUGGGAAAGAAAUCCAGCUGGUUAAUACCCGGUUGGGAUGACGGUACCCAAAGAAUAGGCACCGGCUAACUUCGUGCCAGCAGCCGC